RNAcentral lists this non-coding RNA (28 nucleotides) under Bombyx mori (domestic silkworm). Lineage: Eukaryota; Metazoa; Arthropoda; Insecta; Lepidoptera; Bombycidae. The record is from RNAcentral.
UAACUUCCAUGAACUUAGCCUCCCUCGC